Molecule: ribosomal RNA, 301 nt
Filed under: uncultured bacterium
Lineage: Bacteria
Description: partial 16S ribosomal RNA
Rfam family: Bacterial small subunit ribosomal RNA
Source: RNAcentral
CAGCAGCCGCGGUAAUACGGAGGGUGCAAGCGUUAAUCGGAAUUACUGGGCGUAAAGCGCACGCAGGCGGUCUGUCAAGUCAGAUGUGAAAUCCCCGGGCUUAACCUGGGAACUGCAUUUGAAACUGGCAGGCUAGAGUCUUGUAGAGGGGGGUAGAAUUCCAGGUGUAGCGGUGAAAUGCGUAGAGAUCGGGAGGAACAUCAGUGGCGAAGGCGGCCAUCUGGGACAACACUGACGCUGAGGCACGAAAGCGUGGGGAGCAAACAGGAUUAGAUACCCCUGUAGUCCCUGUCUCUUAUAC